RNAcentral lists this ribosomal RNA (288 nucleotides) under Serratia marcescens. Its description in RNAcentral is "partial 16S ribosomal RNA". It matches the Rfam family "Bacterial small subunit ribosomal RNA", at positions 861 to 1149 of the family's 1533-position model. The record is from RNAcentral. Lineage: Bacteria; Pseudomonadati; Pseudomonadota; Gammaproteobacteria; Enterobacterales; Yersiniaceae.
UAAAUCGACCGCCUGGGGAGUACGGCCGCAAGGUUAAAACUCAAAUGAAUUGACGGGGGCCCGCACAAGCGGUGGAGCAUGUGGUUUAAUUCGAUGCAACGCGAAGAACCUUACCUACUCUUGACAUCCAGAGAACUUUCCAGAGAUGGAUUGGUGCCUUCGGGAACUCUGAGACAGGUGCUGCAUGGCUGUCGUCAGCUCGUGUUGUGAAAUGUUGGGUUAAGUCCCGCAACGAGCGCAACCCUUAUCCUUUGUUGCCAGCGGUUCGGCCGGGAACUCAAAGGAGAC